UUCAGUCUCUUGCCUUUUUUUUAUUGCUUCUUGAUUUUUCUGAGUGAGGUUCUUUGUUUGCUGAACAAUUUUUUGCAAUCUUGCUAGGAAACAUCAAAAUAUGGCUGCUUUGCUGUACAAAUUAAUGGAAGCAACUUUUUUUUUCUUUUUAUUGUGUUGAACUUUUCAUGUUUUUCGAUUGUUGUAUUUAUAAUUUCUUUUGUUGUUGAACUUCUUGUAUCAAGAUUUUUGUUAGUUAUUAUGUUGUAUGACUGUAUUUAUGACUUUGUGAAAUUAAACUUGUUAUUUUGUU
Arachis ipaensis is the source of this 292-nucleotide non-coding RNA. Lineage: Eukaryota; Viridiplantae; Streptophyta; Magnoliopsida; Fabales; Fabaceae. The record is from RefSeq and is a predicted model, not a curated record.